Non-coding RNA from Podarcis lilfordi (Lilford's wall lizard), 194 nucleotides. Lineage: Eukaryota; Metazoa; Chordata; Lepidosauria; Squamata; Lacertidae. The record is from the annotation of a GenBank genome assembly.
GUCGCUUCUCGAUCUCGUGGCUGAGAUCAAAGUGAAGUAUCUGGGUUGUGUUUUUUUUUACAGUUUAACAUUUUGUUCACACCUGGAGAAUAUACCAGAUAUUAAAGAGAUUUUUGAAACUAGGAGAUGGAUUUGUGGCUUGCUCCACGCACUGAACCGGGAAUUGCAGUGUUUCCAGGUACAGUGCCAUUUCU